UACGAAGGGGGCUAGCGUUGUUCGGAAUUACUGGGCGUAAAGGGCGCGUAGGCGGCUUCGAUAGUCGGGUGUGAAAUGCCUGGGCUCAACCCAGGAACUGCACUCGAAACUCCGAGGCUAGAGUGUGGGAGAGGAUAGUGGAAUUCCCAGUGUAGAGGUGAAAUUCGUAGAUAUUGGGAAGAACACCGGUGGCGAAGGCGGCUAUCUGGACCAAAACUGACGCUGAGGCGCGAAAGCGUGGGGAGCAAACAGG
Molecule: ribosomal RNA, 253 nt
Filed under: uncultured bacterium
Lineage: Bacteria
Description: partial 16S ribosomal RNA
Rfam family: Bacterial small subunit ribosomal RNA
Source: RNAcentral